UCAGGGUUCGACUCCGGAGAGGGAGCCUUAGAAAUGGCUACCACAUCUAAGGAAGGCAGCAGGCGCGCAAAUUACCCACUCUCAGCUAGAGGAGGUAGUGACGAAAAAUAACGAUGCGGGACUCCUAUGAGGCUCCGCAAUUGGAAUGAGUACAAUUUAAAUCCUUUAACGAGGAACAAUUGGAGGGCAAGUCUGGUGCCAGCAGCCGCGGUAACUCCAGCUCCAAUAGCGUAUAUUAAAGUUGCUGCAGUUAAAAGGCUCGUAGUUGGAUCUCAGGUACGGAGCUAGAGGUUGGCUUUAGCCGAACCAUUAGUUUCCGCCUCACUAGCUGUAUGUUAUCUUGUGUGCUCUUCACUGUGUGCACAAGAUACUCAGCACGUUUACUUUGAAAAAAUUAGAGUGCUCAAAGCAGGCCUUGUGCUUGAAUACUGUUGCAUGGAAUAAUGGAAUAGGACUUCGGUUCUAUUUUGUUGGUUUUCGGAAUCGAAGUAAUGAUUAAAAGAGACAGACGGGGGCAUCUGUAUGGUGGUGUUAGAGGUGAAAUUCGAUGAUCGCCGCCAGACAAACAACUGCGAAAGCAUUUGCCAAGGAUGUUUUCAUUAAUCAAGAACGAAAGUCAGAGGUUCGAAGACGAUCAGAUACCGUCCUAGUUCUGACCAUAAACGAUGCCAACUGACAAUCGGAGUUUAUUAUUAUUUUUCACUCCGGCAGUCCCUGGGAAACCUUUAAGUCUAUCGGUUCUGGGGGGAGUAUGGUUGCAAAUCCGAAACUUAAAGGAGUUGACGGAAGGGCACCACCAGGUGUGGAGCCUGCGGCUUAAUUUGACCCAACACGGGAAAACUCACCCGGCCCGGACACUGUGAGGAUUGACAGAUUGAUAGCUCUUUCUUGAUUCAGUGGGUGGUGGUGCAUGGCCGUUCUUAGUUGGUGGAGUGAUUUGUCUGGAUAAUUCCGAUAACGAACGAGACUCUAGCCUGCUAAAUAGUCACCACGUAAUAAUUGCGUGGACUGACUUCUUAGAGGGAUUCGCUACGUUUAGUGGCACGAAAUUGAGCAAUAACAGGUCUGUGAUGCCCUUAGAUGUUCGGGGCCGCACGUGCGCUACACUGACGAUAUCAAUGAGUGUCUUCCUAAGCCGAGAGGUUUGGGAAAUCUUAUGAAUUAUCGUCAUGUCAGGGAUUGGGGCUUGUAAUUUUUCCCCAUGAACGAGGAAUACCGAGUAAGCGCAAGUCAUAAGCUUGCGCUGAUUACGUCCCUGCCCUUUGUACACACCGCCCGUCGCUACUACCGAUUGAAUGGUUUAGUGAGGCAUUUGGAUCGAGAUUAAUGAAGUGGUUUUCCAUUUUGUUGAUUUUGAGAAAAUUGUCAAACUUGAUCAUUUAGAGGAAGUAAAAGUCGUAACAAGGUU
This 1408-nucleotide ribosomal RNA is filed under the name metagenome. RNAcentral's name for it is "SSU rRNA". It matches the Rfam family "Eukaryotic small subunit ribosomal RNA", at positions 370 to 1801 of the family's 1831-position model. The record is from RNAcentral.